This 497-nucleotide ribosomal RNA is filed under the name uncultured bacterium. Its description in RNAcentral is "partial 16S ribosomal RNA". It matches the Rfam family "Bacterial small subunit ribosomal RNA", at positions 28 to 507 of the family's 1533-position model. The record is from RNAcentral.
GAUGAACGCUGGCGGCGUGCCUAAUACAUGCAAGUCGAGCGAACGGACGAGAAGCUUGCUUCUCUGAUGUUAGCGGCGGACGGGUGAGUAACACGUGGAUAACCUACCUAUAAGACUGGGAUAACUUCGGGAAACCGGAGCUAAUACCGGAUAAUAUUUUGAACCGCAUGGUUCAAAAGUGAAAGACGGUCUUGCUGUCACUUAUAGAUGGAUCCGCGCUGCAUUAGCUAGUUGGUAAGGUAACGGCUUACCAAGGCAACGAUGCAUAGCCGACCUGAGAGGGUGAUCGGCCACACUGGAACUGAGACACGGUCCAGACUCCUACGGGAGGCAGCAGUAGGGAAUCUUCCGCAAAGGGCGAAAGCCUGACGGAGCAACGCCGCGUGAGUGAUGAAGGUCUUCGGAUCGUAAAACUCUGUUAUUAGGGAAGAACAUAUGUGUAAGUAACUGUGCACAUCUUGACGGUACCUAAUCAGAAGGCCACGGCUAACUACGUG